Long non-coding RNA from Amblyraja radiata (thorny skate), 122 nucleotides. RefSeq lists it as uncharacterized. The transcript has 3 exons. The record is from RefSeq and is a predicted model, not a curated record. Lineage: Eukaryota; Metazoa; Chordata; Chondrichthyes; Rajiformes; Rajidae.
AUGACACCCAGACGUGCAGAUAAAAUUUAUUCAGGAGGACAGUCACACUAGUUGGAGAAUAAGGGUGGGGGAGGGAUGGAGAGAGAGGGAUGGCAAGGGUUACUUGAAGUUAGAGAAGUCAA